This 3162-nucleotide long non-coding RNA is filed under the name Jatropha curcas. RNAcentral describes it as "long non-coding RNA (JCUR_LNC001921)". The record is from RNAcentral. Lineage: Eukaryota; Viridiplantae; Streptophyta; Magnoliopsida; Malpighiales; Euphorbiaceae.
CAGGAACAUCAAUCCACUGCAACUGGAGCUCUACUUCACCACACUCCACAUUUCGCAAUCGAAGAAUAAUAUUUUGAAUCACUUUCCCCUCAACCCAGAUAAUCUGGCUUUCAUCAGCAAGGCAAUUUUGUCUGUUCGGUUGAAUUCUAGUUAUUAUGGUUCCGCUUGGAAGGUCUUCGAGUCGCAUCUUCACAGCUUCAAGAAAUGGACGGAUAUCAAACUCUGCAUCUCCCAUUUUGUCAUCUCUGCUGAAUGUGUCUUUGUCGUAAACAACCUGUAUUUUCAAAUAAAGAAGCAAUGGAAUUCAGGCAGCAAGCAAAUAUAACUAUAACAUAAUAAACCUAUUCUGUAGUAAACCAAAAAUAACGGAUAAGCUUUAACUCAAUUGUACUAGUGUCACAAACACCCUGCAUUUUCAAAAAGAGGCACUUUCAUUUUAAUUAUAUAUGAAUUCAGUUCAGGGAACAGCAAAUUUCACAGUUAAUCGUUCACCAAGAGAUUUUCCCGCAUAACUAAAACAAAACAAAUUUUGUUCUUUGCGUGCAGUUACAAGGUUGUGUCUCAUUUCUCAAGUUAGCCUAGGCUGUAAACAGUUGAUCUCAACAGAGAUCGAGCUCAGCUUGUUAGAGGUUUACUCAAGCUUGAACUCAGGACAUUUACUAUUUGAAGUUUUAAAAAAAAUUGUAGCUCAUUUACAAGCUCAAACUCGAAUUCAAGCUCGGCUCUUUAAACUGUUUUUCCUGAGCUGAGCCUCUAGCAACUGAUGGGAGCUUGGCUCAUUUACAGUCCUAGUUAGCAAUAGACAGUUAAAUUAAUUGAAUUUGAGAAGCCGAAAGGGUUAAAUUUGACUCUAAUUAAAAAUAAAAGGCUUAGUUCACUUUCAGCUGAAAUUUUAGGGGCUAAUUAGAGCUUUUGGCCAAAAUUCCUUCAUGAUUAUUCUAUUUAUAGCAAGCUAAACUGAAGAUUUAAUAAUGUAUAUAUGUACAUAAAAAUUCAUUUCUUCUUUGCCAAGAUUUUCUAUUCUUGUUUUUAACACUUUGAUUGGUAGAAUCUAUCCAUCUAGGUCAAGAUUAGCAAAAGAUUGAGGAUAUGAAUUACUUACGAGCUAAACACACAAACAAAUCUAUCAAAACUAAGACAUGAUCAAAUGAAUUGUAAUACUUACAAUCUUGAUUGGAAGAUUUGGAUUCUCAAUUGAGAGAGUCAAAUCCUCAUUCCACUCAGGAUUGACAUUUUGCUUCACCACUCGAGUCUUCAAUUUCUGCAAAAACAAUAUAUAUAUAUAUAUAUAUAUCAAUCAAUAAACUAAUACUUGUUAAGCAAUUAGUGGUGGAAAUGUUAGCUAAAGGAAAAGUACACAUAAAAAAUAUGGAAAAACACCUUAAUUUGAUUUGACUUGACAAAUAAAUAAAUAACUUUUAUGAGACUGAUAAUAAUUGAAAAACGGACCGACAAUUUAAUACAACUUUUAGCAGCAAUCAAAUUUAUUCUCUCAAUUAAUUUAUUUUCUAAUAUGAAUUUCACUCUCCUAGUCUCAGAUUUUAGUUUCUUUUUUUCUUUUUGGGUCACUCUGUGAAUAGUUUUUCAUUAUCUUAAUUGAAAGUAAAGAAAUGAAUAAUCUUUGAAAAGUAUUUUUCUUUUUCUAAUAAAAGGGAGGAAAUUAACCGAAUAAACACUUAAACAUGAACAGUUCUUGGCAAAAGAGUCCCAACCAGGAAAUUAUAUUUAAACACAAAUUAUUUUACUAUUAGAAAGUAAUAUUUGUUUCACUAAUGUCAUGUUGAGAACUAGAUAAAAAUAACCAAAAAUACUAGCAGCAUUUCCCAUUACAUCACUGCAUAGCAGAGAAAGAAAUCCGCCUAUGGCUAACUUGACAUACUCCUGCAAAACAUAUAUAUAUAUAUAUAUAUACACACACACACACACUGCUCAAAUUCAAAGCAGUUAAAUAAAACAGAUAGAUAGCUGCAAAUUCUACAAACCCCUAAUACCAGGAACAUCAAUCCACUGCAACUGGAGCUCUACUUCACCACACUCCACAUUUCGCAAUCGAAGAAUAAUAUUUUGAAUCACUUUCCCCUCAACCCAGAUAAUCUGGCUUUCAUCAGCAAGGCAAUUUUGUCUGUUCGGUUGAAUUCUAGUUAUUAUGGUUCCGCUUGGAAGGUCUUCGAGUCGCAUCUUCACAGCUUCAAGAAAUGGACGGAUAUCAAACUCUGCAUCUCCCAUUUUGUCAUCUCUGCUGAAUGUGUCUUUGUCGUAAACAACCUGUAUUUUCAAAUAAAGAAGCAAUGGAAUUCAGGCAGCAAGCAAAUAUAACUAUAACAUAAUAAACCUAUUCUGUAGUAAACCAAAAAUAACGGAUAAGCUUUAACUCAAUUGUACUAGUGUCACAAACACCCUGCAUUUUCAAAAAGAGGCACUUUCAUUUUAAUUAUAUAUGAAUUCAGUUCAGGGAACAGCAAAUUUCACAGUUAAUCGUUCACCAAGAGAUUUUCCCGCAUAACUAAAACAAAACAAAUUUUGUUCUUUGCGUGCAGUUACAAGGUUGUGUCUCAUUUCUCAAGUUAGCCUAGGCUGUAAACAGUUGAUCUCAACAGAGAUCGAGCUCAGCUUGUUAGAGGUUUACUCAAGCUUGAACUCAGGACAUUUACUAUUUGAAGUUUUAAAAAAAAUUGUAGCUCAUUUACAAGCUCAAACUCGAAUUCAAGCUCGGCUCUUUAAACUGUUUUUCCUGAGCUGAGCCUCUAGCAACUGAUGGGAGCUUGGCUCAUUUACAGUCCUAGUUAGCAAUAGACAGUUAAAUUAAUUGAAUUUGAGAAGCCGAAAGGGUUAAAUUUGACUCUAAUUAAAAAUAAAAGGCUUAGUUCACUUUCAGCUGAAAUUUUAGGGGCUAAUUAGAGCUUUUGGCCAAAAUUCCUUCAUGAUUAUUCUAUUUAUAGCAAGCUAAACUGAAGAUUUAAUAAUGUAUAUAUGUACAUAAAAAUUCAUUUCUUCUUUGCCAAGAUUUUCUAUUCUUGUUUUUAACACUUUGAUUGGUAGAAUCUAUCCAUCUAGGUCAAGAUUAGCAAAAGAUUGAGGAUAUGAAUUACUUACGAGCUAAACACACAAACAAAUCUAUCAAAACUAAGACAUGAUCAAAUGAAUUGUAAUACUUACAAUCUU